UUUAAUCAUAUUUAAAUAAAUUAAACAUUUAUUAUAGAAAUUCAGCCAUAAAUAAAUUGAGUAAAUACAUAAAACCCAAGAGCCGACAACUGGAGCCGAGAACAGGUCCGACCGACCCUCUUUCCCCUUUCCCUUGUUUAGGGGCAUAAGUUCUCUUGUUAUGGAAAUGCAAUUACCCAUCAGCGGGCGCUUAGCCACAGUUUCCAUGAAAAUUCAAUUGAAAACAAAUAAAAUUCUGAUUCAUCCACAAGCGGAAUGCUCUAUCGGUAUGGAGAUCUUCCAACUGUCCAAGAACUCAAUAACCUGUUGACCCUUGGCCCUGGAUCUGGAUAUGUGUUGCUGCCCCUUCCUGUACCACGUGUGGCUGUGUGUGUGGAGGUCGUGUAAAUUUGCAUGUUUACAUGGAAGUUUUACACGCGAAAUUGGCAACAAAUUUGGAAUCUUUUUUAGUCGGCCCAACAACAGCAGCAGCAGCAUCAGCAGCAGCCACAAAGUGUCGAAAGAUGUUGCCCCACUGCUGUGGCGACCACUGGUCUCUCAGGCCCAUGCCACGUCCACGCCCACGGCAGCUGCUUGCGGUUUGAGCACUAAACGGCUGCUCCUCGAGAGAAUAUAUCCACCCGCCAACCCACAACUGCGGCUGUAUCCCUGUGUAUCCCUUUAUAGAUGUGGCACCACUUGAAGUUUAUUUGUUUGCAGAGUUUUCGUUGAUUGUUAAUCGAAUUAGGACGAAAUGGACACAGGACGCACGGCCCACGAACGGCGAAGGACGCGCUUGCUCCUGACUUUAAUUAAAUUUAGGCAUUCAGCGUCCAUCGGCUCAGCCUCCAUUAUAUGCAUCUGUGUAUCUGUGCGGCAUGUGUGUCCGCGUGGCGAUAAAAACCGCAUGGGCCGCGACGGCAUAUGCCGCUCAUUAUGCAUCUGUGGAUCGUGUAAAUGAGCCAGCAGCCAGGAGGCGACUCCUGCUGCUUUCUGCCGCCCGUGAUGCUCCUCUGUCUCCCUGUGAAUCCUUGCUCUGUGCUGUGCCACCUCCCGCAGCCGCAAGCGCACUUUCGUUAAUUACGCAACAACAACAACAACAGCAACAACAUCAUCGACAGCAAGGGAGGGAUGCCUACAAAUCCUCUCCUCCGUUCGUUUGCUCGGCGGAUGCGUUGCAUCACUUUAUUGAACUUAAUUGCAUGCAAUAAACCCAUAGCGUGGAGCGUUCGUUCGAGGCGGCAUCCUCCUGGAUACCCGAUGAUGAGAGGAGCUAGCGAUGGCAGCGAUGGAAGCGUGACACGGC
Molecule: long non-coding RNA, 1285 nt
Organism: Drosophila obscura
Lineage: Eukaryota; Metazoa; Arthropoda; Insecta; Diptera; Drosophilidae
Exons: 3
Source: RefSeq, a predicted model, not a curated record